This 274-nucleotide ribosomal RNA is filed under the name uncultured bacterium. RNAcentral's name for it is "partial 16S ribosomal RNA". It matches the Rfam family "Bacterial small subunit ribosomal RNA", at positions 523 to 796 of the family's 1533-position model. The record is from RNAcentral.
AUACGGAGGGGGCUAGCGUUGUUCGGAAUUACUGGGCGUAAAGCGCGCGUAGGCGGAUCGUUUAGUCGGGGGUGAAAUCCUGAGGCUCAACCUCAGAACUGCCUCCGAAACUGGCGAUCUCGAGUCCGGAAGAGGUGAGUGGAAUUCCCAGUGUAGAGGUGAAAUUCGUAGAUAUUGGGAAGAACACCAGUGGCGAAGGCGGCUCACUGGUCCGGUACUGACGCUGAGGUGCGAAAGCGUGGGGAGCAAACAGGAUUAGAAACCCCAGUAGUCC